Molecule: ribosomal RNA, 235 nt
Filed under: uncultured bacterium
Lineage: Bacteria
Description: partial 16S ribosomal RNA
Rfam family: Bacterial small subunit ribosomal RNA
Source: RNAcentral
UCGGUAGAGCGGCGAACGGCUGAGGAACACGUUGGAACCUGCCCCAGACUCAGGGAUAACCCCGCGAAAGCGGGGCUAAUACCGGAUGGUCUCGCGAGAGUAAAGCUUUUGCGGUCUGGGAGGGGCCUGCGGCCUAUCAGUUAGUUGGUGAGGUAAUAGCUCACCAAGACUAUGACGGGUAACUGGUCUGAGAGGACGACCAGUCAGAAUGGGACUGAGACACGGCCCAUACUCC